GGCCUGGUAGCUCAGCUGGAUUAGAGUAUUUGGCUACGAACCAAAGGGUCGGGGGUUCGAGUCCCUCCCAGGUCACCA
RNAcentral lists this transfer RNA (78 nucleotides) under Schwartzia succinivorans. RNAcentral describes it as "tRNA-Arg". It matches the Rfam family "tRNA". Rfam says of the family: Transfer RNA (tRNA) molecules are approximately 80 nucleotides in length. Their secondary structure includes four short double-helical elements and three loops (D, anti-codon, and T loops). Lineage: Bacteria; Bacillati; Bacillota; Negativicutes; Selenomonadales; Selenomonadaceae. RNAcentral also lists the same sequence under 3 other names. The record is from RNAcentral.